GCCCAGGUGGCGAAAUUGGUAGACGCGCUCGUUUCAGGUGCGAGAGCCGCAAGGUGUGGGGGUUCGAGUCCCUUCCUGGGCA
Molecule: transfer RNA, 82 nt
Filed under: Bacteroidota bacterium
Lineage: Bacteria; Pseudomonadati; Bacteroidota
Also listed under: 2 other names
Description: Bacteroidetes bacterium (activated sludge metagenome) tRNA-Leu
Rfam family: tRNA
About the family: Transfer RNA (tRNA) molecules are approximately 80 nucleotides in length. Their secondary structure includes four short double-helical elements and three loops (D, anti-codon, and T loops).
Source: RNAcentral